GGAUUGUGGCUCAGUGGUAGAGGGCUCGUCUAGCACAUGCGAGGCCCUGGGUCAAUCCUCAGCACCA
This 67-nucleotide transfer RNA is filed under the name Marmota monax (woodchuck). Its description in RNAcentral is "tRNA.Ala". Lineage: Eukaryota; Metazoa; Chordata; Mammalia; Rodentia; Sciuridae. The record is from RNAcentral.